GAGGAGGCCGAGGAGCGCCUGUGUCUGCUCAAAAGAGUGCUUUGGGUGACUCACUCACUCUCUCAUACAAACUAUCCACGCUCAUCUGCACCAUCCUGAGUUUGUUAUCAUUGUUUCAGGCGCGGAUUUCAAGAAUGCACGAUUGCGGCCCAGCGCUGAGAAUGUGUGCUUGCUGAAUAUCCCACCUGUCCCCCCUCCCUUAUUUUCUUUUUUUUCCUUCACUUUUAUUUGCUUUAAUUUUCCUGCAACAACGCACUCACCAUGUCACAGUCACCUGAAGCUGAGCCUGUUACUGUGGUACCAGCAGAACCAGCAUCAACCACUGAACCAACAUCUGUCACAACCACUGCACCCGUGACCAGAACUUCAUUCUGGAAGGAAAGGAGAAAAAUCCCAGAGAAGACAGAUGAGUUCCUCCUUGCCAGAUUUCAGGGUGAUGGAGUGAGAUUUAAAGCCAAACUUAUUGGUGUGGAUGAUGUUCAAGAUGCAAGAGGGGAUAAAAUGUGUCAGGAUUCCAUGAUGAAACUAAAGGGCAUGGCAAUAGCUGCUCGUUCUCAAGGCAAGCACAAGCAAAGAAUAUGGAUAAACAUCUCUUUAACAGGAAUCAAAAUUGUUGAUGAGAAAACUGGGGUGAUUGAGCAUGAACAUGUGGUGAAUAAGAUCUCCUUCAUUGCUCGUGAUGUCACUGAUAACCGGGCAUUUGGAUAUGUCUGUGGAGCAGAGGGCCAGCAUCAAUUUUUUGCUAUUAAAACAGCUCAGCAGGCUGAGCCUCUAGUCAUUGAUUUGAAGGAUUUGUUUCAGUUGAUCUUUAAUAUGAAGAAGAAAGAGCAGGAGGCUGGACAAAAGGGUGAGGGAAAUGGCACUGAGAAUGGUGGCGAUGCUUUACUCGCUCUGGAUGGAAAAGAAAAUGCUGUAAAAAGUGUAGAGCAGAUGAACCUGUUUGGUGAUAUGUCCACUCCACCUGACAUUCAUUCUCCUACGUCACCGGGUAAUGACCUGUUUGGAUCUGGACUGUUUGCUCCACCUGCCCAAAAUGAGUCUCAGGCAUCAAAUCAGAACUCCUCCAUUCCAGCAGACCUGUUCAACUCCACACCAUCCUCCACUAUCAAUGCUUUUGGGUCCAUGUCUCUUGGCCAUGCUCCAGGGACAGCUCAAGUCUCUUGGGGUCAGACAGCCACAAUGUUCCCUCCUCAGGCCGGUGUUCCUCAAGUAACAAUUCCAGGACCCCCAAGACCUUUUCCUCAGCCAUCUGCCUUUGGAGGCCUGUCUGCACCUGCAUGGGGGCAGCAAGGAGCUUCGCCUUUCGGUCCACCAGCUGGCACACAAGCCUGGGGUCAACCGGGAACCGCAGCACCUGUUGGGACGUGGCCUGCUCCUGGUCCUGUGACUAGUCCCUUCCAACCAAACCAGUUUGCUCCCAUGAUGCCUCCCAAUGCCAUGAUGGGAAUGCAGCAGGGUGCAGUAGCUCCUCCUCGCCCUCCACCCCGUCCUCCAGUGAAAGAAGAGCCCCCAGUGGUCAAAAGUGCCUUUACAGCUUUGGACCCCCUUGGGGAGAAGGAGAGUAAAUCUGGAAAAGACAUGUUCAAAAAUUUCCAGAUGGUUAAACCCCAGAAACCAGAACCAGGGCCUGAUCCAAGCACCAAUGGCUCAUUUGAUCAGUACUUUUCCAAUAAGGUUGGCUUGGCUCAGGAGGCAGCAGAUCAUGAUGAUUUUGAAAUAAACCAAAUCUCCGCUAACUCCAAUGGGACCUCCAAACCUGCUUCUCAGCUGAUCCCUACUAUGGAUGCAAUACCUCAGGCAGCAGGUUUGAUCCCAGCUCCAGCCACAGGGCUUUUGGAUUUGGCCUUUUCCCCUAAUCCAGUCCCUCCACCCACAAACCCAGCUCCUGCAGCAGGCACAGAUCUUUUUGAUGACACUUUUGGAGUGAACCCAUUUGGGGCACCACUCAUGAACACCAGCACUCAGGCCACUCAGAAUGCUGCUCUUGCAGAUGCUUUUGGAGACCCGUUUGGGGGAAAUCCCUUUGCCUGAAAUAUCAGCACUGUUGUUCUGGGAGCUGAGAUGCAUUUAGAUUUUCUAAGACACAUCAAGAACACCUGCUGACCCAGAGCUGCUGAGCGAGAGGGCCACACAAGCACUGUAGAGCUGCUUUUAGCGUUCUACUUGGAAAAGCACUGUUUUGAAAACUUUUAUUCUGUGCUCUGCUGUUCUCAUCCCCACUGUAUAUCUCCUGUACUCUCUCUUUCUGUGCCUUUCUAACUGAUCAACCCCAAGUCACAUGUGAAAUGAGCUGCACAGUGAAGUAGCUGACAAAGGGUUGUAAUUGAAGGAAAGAAUAAAAAAAAAAAAAAGUCAUGCUUAUGUACAUGAGAUUUCCUCUAUGCAAGUAUUCCUGUGCAUUCAUAAUUAAGUAAAAAUGCUUAAUCCUAAUUAAAAAGACAAAUCUGG
This is an RNA transcript of Danio aesculapii, 2448 nucleotides long. It is a transcript of the gene named DAB adaptor protein 2, with no coding region annotated. The transcript has 15 exons. The record is from RefSeq and is a predicted model, not a curated record. NCBI's taxonomy places the organism in Eukaryota, Metazoa, Chordata, Actinopteri, Cypriniformes, Danionidae.